AGGAUAAACGCUGGCGGCGUGCCUAACACAUGCAAGUCGAACGCGCUUUCGGGCUUCGGUGCGAGAGCGAGUGGCGGACGGGUGAGUAACACAUGGGUACCUACCUUGGAGUGAGGGAUACCGGCGAGAAAUCGCCGACAAUACCGCAUAGGCUUCUUCACAAGGGAAGCAAAGUGACGCGAGUCACGCUUUGAGAUGGGCCUGUGGCCGAUUAGCUAGUUGGGGGGUAACGGCUUCCCAAGGCGACGAUCGGUAGCUGGUCUGAGAGGACGAUCAGCCACACUGGGAUUGAGAACGGCCCAGACUCCUACGGGGGGCAGCAGUGAGGAAUUUUCCGCAAUGGAGGCAACUCUGACGGAGCAACGCCGCGUGCAGGAGGAAGGUUUUCGGAUCGUAAACUGCUUUUCUCGGGGACGAGCAAGGACGGUACCCGAGGAAGAAGCCCCGGACUAACUACGUGCCAGCAGCCGCGGU
RNAcentral lists this ribosomal RNA (474 nucleotides) under uncultured bacterium. RNAcentral's name for it is "SSU rRNA". It matches the Rfam family "Bacterial small subunit ribosomal RNA", at positions 26 to 521 of the family's 1533-position model. The record is from RNAcentral.